UCGCGGCUUAUCACCGGCAGUCCCCUUAGAGUGCCCAACUGAAUGAUGGCAACUAAGGGCGAGGGUUGCGCUCGUUGCGGGACUUAACCCAACAUCUCACGACACGAGCUGACGACAACCAUGCAGCACCUCUGCUGGCUCCCUUGCGGGUCAGCCCCUGUUUCCAAGGACUUACCACCAGCGGUUCAAGCCCAGGUAAGGUUCUUCGCGUUGCGUCGAAUUAAACCACAUGCUCCACCGCUUGUGCGGGCCCCCGUCAAUUCCUUUGAGUUUCAACCUUGCGGCCGUACUCCCCAGGCGGCUCAUUUAAUGCGUUAGCUUCGGCGCAGAGGGGGUCGAUACCCCCCACACCUAAUGAGCAUCGUUUAGGGCUAGGACUAC
Molecule: unclassified non-coding RNA, 381 nt
Filed under: uncultured bacterium
Lineage: Bacteria
Description: contains 16S-23S intergenic spacer region
Source: RNAcentral